GAUCAAGUUAGUAAGGGCAUACGGUGAAUGCCUUGGCGCUAGGAGUCGAUGAAGGACGUGGUAAGCUGCGAUAAGCUUCGGGGAGGUGCAAGCAACCUUCGAUCCGGAGAUUUCCGAAUGGGGAAACCCGGCUGGGGUAAUGCCCAGUCACUCCUACCUGAACACAUAGGGUAGGUAGAGACAACCCAGGGAACUGAAACAUCUAAGUACCUGGAGGAAUAGAAAGUAAAU
Molecule: non-coding RNA, 231 nt
Filed under: Candidatus Aquicultor primus
Lineage: Bacteria; Bacillati; Actinomycetota; Candidatus Aquicultoria; Candidatus Aquicultorales; Candidatus Aquicultoraceae
Description: Actinobacteria bacterium GWC2_53_9 partial 23S ribosomal RNA
Rfam family: Bacterial large subunit ribosomal RNA
Source: RNAcentral